GAUGAACGCUGGCGGCGUGCUUAACACAUGCAAGGUCGAACGGAGAAAGGGUAGCUUGCUAUCUUUUCUUAGUGGCGGACGGGUGAGUAACGCGUGGGUAACCUGCCCUUUGCAGGGGGAUAACAGUGAGAAAUCACUGCUAAUACCGCAUACCAACUUCUUUCGCAUGAAAGAAGUUUGAAAGAUUUAUCGGCAAAGGAUGGACCCGCGUUGGAUUAGCUAGUUGGUGAGAUAACAGCCCACCAAGGCAACGAUCCAUAGCCGGCCUGAGAGGGUGAACGGCCACACUGGGACUGAGACACGGCCCAGACUCCUACGGGAGGCAGCAGUGGGGAAUAUUGCACAAUGGGCGAAAGCCUGAUGCAGCGACGCCGCGUGAAGGAUGAAGGUCUUCGGAUUGUAAACUUCUAUCAGCAGGGAAGAAAGGGCCUAUGGCCUAUGACGGUACCUGACUAAGAAGCCCCGGCUAACUACGUG
RNAcentral lists this ribosomal RNA (477 nucleotides) under uncultured bacterium. RNAcentral describes it as "bacterial SSU rRNA". It matches the Rfam family "Bacterial small subunit ribosomal RNA", at positions 28 to 507 of the family's 1533-position model. The record is from RNAcentral.